Molecule: transfer RNA, 72 nt
Filed under: Fukomys damarensis (Damara mole-rat)
Lineage: Eukaryota; Metazoa; Chordata; Mammalia; Rodentia; Bathyergidae
Rfam family: tRNA
About the family: Transfer RNA (tRNA) molecules are approximately 80 nucleotides in length. Their secondary structure includes four short double-helical elements and three loops (D, anti-codon, and T loops). Further hydrogen bonds mediate the characteristic L-shaped molecular structure. tRNAs have two regions of fundamental functional importance: the anti-codon, which is responsible for specific mRNA codon recognition, and the 3' end, to which the tRNAs corresponding amino acid is attached (by aminoacyl-tRNA synthetases). tRNAs cope with the degeneracy of the genetic code in two manners: having more than one tRNA (with a specific anti-codon) for a particular amino acid; and 'wobble' base-pairing, i.e. permitting non-standard base-pairing at the 3rd anti-codon position.
Source: Rfam by way of RNAcentral
UGGGAUGUAGCUCAGUGUUAGAGCAUUUGCCUAGCAUGGGCGAGGCCCUGGGUUCAAUCCCCAGUACCACAA